GUAAUGAUUCUUCCGUAGGGUAACCUGCGGAAGGAUCAUUACCUAGAGUUGUAGGCUUUGCCUGCUAUCUCUUACCCAUGUCUUUUGAGUACCUUCGUUUCCUCGGCGGGUCCGCCCGCCGAUUGGACACAUUUAAACCCUUUGUAGUUGCAAUCAGCGUCUGAAAAACUUUAAUAGUUACAACUUUCAACAACGGAUCUCUUGGUUCUGGCAUCGAUGAAGAACGCAGCGAAAUGCGAUAAGUAGUGUGAAUUGCAGAAUUCAGUGAAUCAUCGAAUCUUUGAACGCACAUUGCGCCCCUUGGUAUUCCAUGGGGCAUGCCUGUUCGAGCGUCAUUUGUACCUUCAAGCUUUGCUUGGUGUUGGGUGUUUGUCUCGCCUCUGCGCGCAGACUCGCCUCAAAACAAUUGGCAGCCGGCGUAUUGAUUUCGGAGCGCAGUACAUCUCGCGCUUUGCACUCAUAACGACGACGUCCAAAAAGUACAUUUUUUACACUCUUGACCUCGGAUCAGGUAGGGAUACCCGCUGAACUUAAGCAUAUCAAAAGCCGGAGGAAUUUUCCAU
RNAcentral lists this ribosomal RNA (563 nucleotides) under Alternaria porri. RNAcentral's name for it is "eukaryotic LSU rRNA". The stretch from base 182 to 335 matches the Rfam family "5.8S ribosomal RNA". The record is from RNAcentral. Lineage: Eukaryota; Fungi; Ascomycota; Dothideomycetes; Pleosporales; Pleosporaceae.